GGCCCUGUAGUUCAAUGGAUAGAACGGAAGUUUCCUAAACUUUAAAUAUAGGUUCGAUUCCUAUCGGGGCUACAA
RNAcentral lists this transfer RNA (75 nucleotides) under Lentimicrobium saccharophilum. RNAcentral's name for it is "tRNA-Arg". It matches the Rfam family "tRNA". Rfam says of the family: Transfer RNA (tRNA) molecules are approximately 80 nucleotides in length. The record is from RNAcentral. Lineage: Bacteria; Pseudomonadati; Bacteroidota; Bacteroidia; Bacteroidales; Lentimicrobiaceae. RNAcentral also lists the same sequence under 1 other name.